AUCGCUUCUCGGCCUUUUGGCUAAGAUCAAGUGUAGUAUCUGUUCUUAUCAGUUUAAUAUCUGAUACGUCCCCUACUCGGGGACUACAUAUUAAAUUGAUUUUUGGAUCACGGAGCUGGAGCCGGGGCUUGCUCUGUCCACUCCACGCAUCGGCCUGGUAUUGCAGUGUCUCCAGGAGCGGUGUGCUUCCC
This is a small nuclear RNA of Cyprinus carpio carpio, 191 nucleotides long. Its record names the gene U2. It matches the Rfam family "U2 spliceosomal RNA". Rfam says of the family: U2 is a small nuclear RNA (snRNA) component of the spliceosome (involved in pre-mRNA splicing). Complementary binding between U2 snRNA (in an area lying towards the 5' end but 3' to hairpin I) and the branchpoint sequence (BPS) of the intron results the bulging out of an unpaired adenosine, on the BPS, which initiates a nucleophilic attack at the intronic 5' splice site, thus starting the first of two transesterification reactions that mediate splicing. The record is from Ensembl. Lineage: Eukaryota; Metazoa; Chordata; Actinopteri; Cypriniformes; Cyprinidae.